ACAGUGGUGGUCCAUGGUAGAAUUCUUUCCUUCCAUGUAGGAGAUCUGGGUUUGAUUCCCAGCCAAUGCC
This 70-nucleotide transfer RNA is filed under the name Loxodonta africana (African savanna elephant). It matches the Rfam family "tRNA". Rfam says of the family: Transfer RNA (tRNA) molecules are approximately 80 nucleotides in length. Their secondary structure includes four short double-helical elements and three loops (D, anti-codon, and T loops). Lineage: Eukaryota; Metazoa; Chordata; Mammalia; Proboscidea; Elephantidae. The record is from Rfam by way of RNAcentral.